GGGGUGUUCUUUUCUAUUUAGUUUUUUGUUUGUUUAUUUAUAUAUUUGUGUAGAAAAAUAAGAGACAGCGCGGCGAUUUUCAGGUAGUUAAAAGUGAACGCGUUAGCAAUUUUUGAAAGAAAAAAAAAACAAAUUAAUUACAUAAAAUACGUCAUCAAGGGGAAGUUAAUUUAGUUCCUGUUAUCUGAAUUUAAAUCACAAGGAAGGCGGUUCCCCUUGUUGACAUAAAAAUCAUCUUGUGUUUUAGAUUUCAUACGAUGUUGUGGUGAACAUGGGAUAUUGUACGAGUUUUGAGGAUGGAAUACAAUGUAGUCAGCUUCAAGGAUAUAAUUUUUAAUUUUUGUAUAAUGUGACAUGCUAACAAGGCUAUGUUAUAUGUGUUGAGCCCCUUAUCCCCUGACGCCUUCAUUGUCAGCAUUUUACACCAAAGAUUACGGAGCUACAUAAUUCUGGCCAACGGAGAAGAGAUAGACGUAUAUAUAUGUAUAUAAUUGUAUAUAAAACAGUGCUCAGGAUGAACCACGAAUUGUUUGCUCUGAAAGUUUCCCAAAUGGCCUUUCUUCAACAGGCACUUAAAUUCGAGUCAUUUUCCAAGGGAUGGGAGUCGAGGUGGAUGGACAGCCGGAGAAUAUUGUCUGAAAAUUCUUGACUAUUAAAAAAAUUUCAGAAACACACACGGUGGGGUACGAGGUUACAUCUUUCCUGGGUCCUACCCGGUGUUUUGAAAUAUCCAGUGGCAUUUUCCAUAUGUACACCUAAACGAGCAGAUAAUUACAAGGGAAGUUGACACGGCAUGACAAAUCGACCGUACAUGAUCCGAUUCUCAGCCUCAUUGGAAGUAAAUUGGAAAAAAUUACAUGCCUGGUUCUCGGCAUGAAUCGCCCUGUGCCCUUGGCUUUGUCAACACGGCCAUCGGUGCCUGUGUUCCGGUAAAUGCUCACCCCCGAGAUCGACUUUAUGAUUAGAUAGAUAAGAUGGAGGUACAUUCCUCUCUUCGUACAAAGACUGGAGGUGAAUGGUGGUUGCAUAUUUUUAUAAAAAAUUACAUCACAGCACGGCAUAAGAGACAGUGAGAUCACGCCAUUCUAUCGCGACCAUCAGCUUCCCUCAGAUCGGUGUCAUCUUGGAACAAAACAAAGUAUUUUUGCGGUAGGUAGUUACACGACGUUUGAAAAACAGAAAUGGCACCCAUGCAUACAGGUGUAAUGGUGUCAAAGAUCGUCUCCCUCCGGUAUCAGAUCUCGUCAUAUCUGUCUUGAACAUCACAUCCACUUCCGCUUCGUUAAACCGUCGUUCACAAUCUUUUGUUUUUGUGAACAUAGUUGCAAAUUGAUGAAUUUAGUUUUUUU
This is a long non-coding RNA of Ostrea edulis (European flat oyster), 1349 nucleotides long. RefSeq lists it as uncharacterized. The transcript has 2 exons. NCBI's taxonomy places the organism in Eukaryota, Metazoa, Mollusca, Bivalvia, Ostreida, Ostreidae. The record is from RefSeq and is a predicted model, not a curated record.